RNAcentral lists this ribosomal RNA (470 nucleotides) under uncultured Glomus. Its description in RNAcentral is "SSU rRNA". It matches the Rfam family "Eukaryotic small subunit ribosomal RNA", at positions 569 to 1043 of the family's 1831-position model. Lineage: Eukaryota; Fungi; Glomeromycota; Glomeromycetes; Glomerales; Glomeraceae. The record is from RNAcentral.
AGCAGCCGCGGUAAUUCCAGCUCCAAUAGCGUAUAUUAAAGUUGUUGCAGUUAAAAAGCUCGUAGUUGAAUUUCGAGAUCAAAUUGUUGGUCGUGCCUCGGUACGUACUGGCAUUAUUGAUUUCUCCCUUCUGAAGAACCACGAUGUCAUUAAUUUGGUGUCGUGGGGAAUCAGGACUGUUACUUUGAAAAAAUUAGAGUGUUUAAAGCAGGCUCACGCUUGAAUACAUUAGCAUGGAAUAAUGAAAUAGGACGUUUGAUUCUAUUUUUGUUGGUUUCUAGGAUUGACGUAAUGAUUAAUAGGGAUAGUUGGGGGCAUUAGUAUUCAAUUAUCAGAGGUGAAAUUCUUGGAUUUAUUGAAGACUAACUACUGCGAAAGCAUUUGCCAAGGAUGUUUUCAUUAAUCAAGAACGAAAGUUAGGGGAUCGAAGACGAUCAGAUACCGUCGUAGUCUUAACCAUAAACUAUGCC